RNAcentral lists this unclassified non-coding RNA (2740 nucleotides) under Polistes fuscatus (common paper wasp). Its description in RNAcentral is "fidgetin-like protein 1, transcript variant X1". Lineage: Eukaryota; Metazoa; Arthropoda; Insecta; Hymenoptera; Vespidae. The record is from RNAcentral.
CACAGUUAUCAAACAACAACAUAUAAGGCUUGUCAAUUUAUUACUUAUUAUUAAAAUUAUGGCUUUUGAUAAUACAAAGGAAAAUACUAAAGAAUAUAAUAACUUUUUAGCAGCUUAUCAAGAAUUAAAGUUUUCUAAAUUAGAUGAAGAUCCAUUUAAAGUUCUGAACGUUGAACGUCGUUGUCUUGGUGUGAAAUAUUUAGCAGCAAAAAGAUCAGGCUUUGAGGAUGUAGCGAUGUGUCUGCUAGAAAAAGGUCUAAAAGAAUUUCAACAUCAAAUAGAAAAGAACGGGGAUUAUUGGAAUUCGAUUGAAGAAAACAUUGUUGAAACUGUUAAUGAUCCUUCACAAUGGAAAUCAGGAUUAAACGAUGUACAAACAGCAAUUGAUUUCGUAGAAUGUUUACCAUGUCAAGAUGAAAAUACUGCAGCAUGUAAAGAAAAGAUAAUUAAUGAUGGUCAUAUUAAAAAUAUUGUUGAUAUGUGGAAGACACAAGAUACAAGAAAAAGAAAAUGUAAUAUACAAAGACGCCCUCAAUUUGAAAUAAUUAAAGCAAAUGAUAAUAAAAUUUCUCAUGCUAAUAAAAGUUCGACAAGUAACCAAAUCAAACUCAUAGAAUCUAAUAAAAAGGAAUUACCAAGCUUAAGAAACGGGGUUUCUUUAUUCAAAACUGCCAGGGAUGAAUUAAAUAUUCAACAAAAUUCAAAGAAUAGGCCAGCACAAAAGAAGACAUUAGGUGGUAAACCUUCAGUUAAAUCUCCAUUUGUAUGUCCUUUAAAACGUGAGGAAGAUAAAGUAAUGCAGUAUCAAAAUAGUAAAAUAGAAAAUGAAGGUGAUUCAGCGGAUGUAGAAGAUGAAAGGUUGAAAAACAUUGAUCCGAAGUUGAUAGAGUUAAUAAAAAAUGAAAUCAUGGACUUACGAACAUCAGUUUCUUGGGAUGACAUAGCAGGACUUGAAUAUGCUAAGAAAAUUAUUCAAGAAGUCAUUGUAUUUCCUAUGUUGAGGCCUGACAUUUUCACCGGUCUACGUAGGCCACCAAGAGGAAUUUUAUUAUUUGGUCCUCCUGGUACAGGAAAAACAUUAAUUGGAAGAUGUAUCGCAGUGCAGAGUAAAUCAACAUUUUUUUCUAUAUCAGCAAGCUCCUUGACUUCGAAGUGGAUAGGCGAAGGAGAAAAAAUGGUUAGAGCAUUAUUUGCUGUUGCGAGAGUCAAUCAACCUUCAGUUGUUUUUAUAGAUGAAAUAGAUUCUUUGCUUUCUCAAAGAUCGGAGACCGAGCAUGAAAGUUCGAGAAGACUUAAAACUGAAUUUUUAGUACAACUGGACGGGGCAGCAACUUCAGAAGAUGAUCGCAUUUUAAUUGUAGGUGCAACAAAUAGACCACAAGAAUUAGAUGAAGCAGCACGUCGUCGUCUUGUUAAAAGGCUCUAUAUUCCAUUACCGGAAUUGCAAGCACGAAAACAAAUUAUACGCAAUCUAUUAUCAUCGGUAAAACACAAUGUUACAGAACAAGAUAUUACUGAUAUUGCUCAACAAGCAGAAGGUUAUUCAGGUGCUGAUAUGAAAACUUUAUGUACGGAAGCUAGUAUGGGACCAAUCAGAUGUAUUCCGUAUAAUGUGUUACAAGAAAUACCAUCCGAUGAGAUAACACCAGUAACACUUCAGGAUUUUAAAGAAGCUCUACAAAAUACAAAGCAGUAGACUCUCCGCAUGUUUAGAAGAAUAAGAAAAUGGUCUUUCGUCUACUUCGUAAAAAGUUUGUCUCUUAUUUUCGAACACGAGUCCGAACGUAGAUCAGAGUUGCAGAGAAGAAGAAGAAGAAGAAGAAGAAGAGAGUACAGAGGUAAAAAUGAUUUCUUCGACGUACCAGAGAUUUACGGUAUGUCACGCGAAAGGUCUUCGGUCAAAUUGUUUCACAUUGAUUUUCAGGUCGAAGAUGAGAGAAAGAGAAAGAAAGAAAGACAGAAAGAAAGAAAGAAAGACAGAAAGAGAAAGAAAGAGAGAGAGAGAGGCGUCUGUACCGCUUCGUCUGCCCACACGCGACGUCUCUGAGAAGGCAUUGUGGUUUCCAGGCACUUAUUUAUGUGCAGCUCGACGUUUCCGCCCCUUCCGCCUGUAGUUUAGGGCCGUUGACUUGAACGAAAGCGUCCAAGUGGAAGGAAAGCAUCGCACCAUCCUCGUCGUCGUCGUCUUCGUCGUCUUCGAAGUCGAUGUUUCCCGUUGUCACUUUGUCGCAACACCGACGACGACCUUUUCUUUCAUCGUCUCUCGCGACAGGUGUAAUUACACGUACGAGACGAGACGAGACGAGACGAGACGAGACGACUAACUCUCACUUCUAUGUCUUCUAAUGGAAAUUCAUUUUUCGUCCUUCGAAAACGUCCAGCGCAAAUGAAUCGGAGAAUGAAAUAAAUCGCUACAACGUUCGACCACUUUCUCGGAGAAUGAUUAUAUCGUCGUGUUAAUAACUGUAGAGUCGUGUUUACGUUUGUCUAACUGGUAAAUGAAAAGCAUUUACAAAAAGGGAAGUAUUGAAUUGGAAGAAAAAGCAACUGAGUUCUUCGUAUCAUCGCUUUUUCUUUUUCUUAUAAUCGAUACAAUAUUUUUUAACAACGCGAGAUAUAUGUAUUAUACAUUGUUUGUUCGUUAGAUUAUUAUAAAAGAUUUUUAAUCGAGAUAUAACGGGGAAUCGUACGAGUUUGAUAUCGGAUAAAUAAAAAAAGGAAAAAGGAAACAAAGGAAAAA